Coffea arabica (coffee) is the source of this 1526-nucleotide non-coding RNA. NCBI's taxonomy places the organism in Eukaryota, Viridiplantae, Streptophyta, Magnoliopsida, Gentianales, Rubiaceae. The record is from RefSeq and is a predicted model, not a curated record.
AAAGUGGUGGAGUGAGAGUGUGUUAUAUUGAAGUUUGAGGAUAUGACGAUGAAGAAUAUGAUGACGGAGAUAACACAGGCGGGAGGGAGCUGGGGCACAACGAAUUAUUUGGUUCGACCCCGAGCGCAGCCGCCUGCUUUGGAAUCUCACUCCCCUUUUGGCUUUGGCUUUGGCUAUGAUGGAGGCCUCUCAUCGCCAUUUACUACUACUACUACUUAUCAGUUCAACAACAGGAAUUGUCGGCUUCAAAGACCGUCCGCUCUUCCCACUUCAAUCUUGUCGUCUGUAGCUAAAGAGCCCCUCACCCUUUCCCGAGCCCUCCUGGAUGAUACUACUUCUUCUUCUGAUGCGGAGGAGCUUAAGAGUGUUGCUGAGGCUGAUCCUUCACUAACACUUAAGAAGAGGGCAGCUGAGAUAUCUCCCGAUUUGAAAGGAACUUCUGUAUUUCUUGUAGGGAUAAACUGUUCCAUCAAAUCCAACUUGGGGAAACUUCUUGCUGAGGCACUGCGAUACUAUUACUUUGACAGUGAUGAUUUGAUUGAAGCGGCUGCCGGUGGAAAAUCUGCUGCUAGAUUAGUUUUCCAGCGGGAUGAGAAGGGUUUCCGUGAAUCUGAGACAGAGGUACUGAAGCAGCUGUCCUCCAUGGGCCGUCUUGUGGUUUCUGCUGGAAAUGGCACUGUUCAGUGUGCAGCCAAUCUGGCACACUUGAGACAUGGAAUUUCAAUAUGGAUUGAUGUCCCUCUAGACAUGGUAGCCAGGGAGGUCAUGGAAAAUGAUAUUCAACUUCCUGCAUCUGACCUCACAGUUUCUGGAUCUUAUUCUGAGAUUUUGACUCAGCUGACUGAACUGUAUGAAAGAAGCCGGAGUGGAUAUACUGCAGCUGAUUCAACUGUUUCGCUCCCAAAAGUAGCAUCUAAUUUCGUUACAAGGACCUGGUUGAAGUAACAGUUGAAGAUAUGGCUUUAGAGGUUCUCAAGGAGCUCCAAAAACUAAUGAGACUUAAAAAGAUGAUGGAAGCAGCGCUAGACCAUUUUAAUCUCCAAGACCUUUUGUCACUGCCAUUAACUUUGGGUGUAAGGAACUGUUGCAGAUGUUGCAGCCGCUACCUGCCAAAAUAUCUCAAAGAAAGCUAUUUACUCUACAGACUUGAGAAGCUUGUUAUACGUUUGUUUUUUUGAUGGAAUUAGACGUCAUCAUCGCAGCAGUUGAUGCAUUGGAAUUGUGACGGAGAUAUUGGUUUGUAACUGCCUCAGGCUGGGGAAAAGGAGUUCCCAGAUCUUGAUUUCCACCUUAGGCAGUGAGGCUGCAUUCGCCUGCCACAAAUGGAGAAGUUGGAGACCUGCGAUGACCUAUUUCAUGGGUUGAUUGAUAAUUGUGACGAGGAUGUUCUUACUAGUUCAUAGUACGCAGUAAUGGUGUUCAGCUUUUGAGUUGUGUUAUGGAAAUGUUACGAAUCUAUUGUGAUUCUUGAUCCUAAAUUAGUUCAGAGCUAAGUAAAUGGAAUGUUAAGAUGAACUUUGAGCUCU